This 2057-nucleotide small RNA is filed under the name Pan troglodytes (chimpanzee). RNAcentral describes it as "retained intron". The record is from RNAcentral. Lineage: Eukaryota; Metazoa; Chordata; Mammalia; Primates; Hominidae.
ACUUCCGCCCCCUCCGCCUGCCAUUGGAACUAGCUGAGCCGAACUAGUUGCGGCCACCGAGCAGCCGGCUCUCGGCACCUCCUCCUCCGCCUCCCUGUCUCCUGUUCCAUUCGCCUUUCCUCUUCUUUCCUGGCCCACGCCGCUCCGAGGCCUCGCGACCGCCGAGCCUGCAGCCUGCCCCGCGGCCAACAUGAGCUUCUUGUUUGGUAGUCGCUCUUCUAAAACUUUUAAACCAAAGAAGAACAUUCCAGAGGGUUCUCACCAGUAUGAGCUCUUAAAACACGCAGAAGCCACACUUGGCAGUGGCAACCUUCGGAUGGCUGUCAUGCUUCCUGAGGGGGAAGAUCUCAAUGAAUGGGUUGCAGUUAACACUGUGGAUUUCUUCAAUCAGAUCAACAUGCUUUAUGGAACUAUCACAGACUUCUGUACAGAAGAGAGUUGUCCAGUGAUGUCAGCUGGCCCAAAAUAUGAGUAUCAUUGGGCAGAUGGAACGAACAUAAAGAAACCUAUUAAGUGCUCUGCACCAAAGUAUAUUGAUUACUUGAUGACUUGGGUUCAGGACCAGUUGGAUGAUGAGACGUUAUUUCCAUCAAAAAUUGGUAUAAUUAAUUUUUGUAAGGGGGAUCCAUCAUGAUUUAUCUUUUAUAUGUUUAUAGAAUUUUCCUCCCUCUUUCCACUAUAUCUAGUUGGAGAGUUCUUUAUGGCUGUGUUGAUAUAUGUAUAUGUUACGCAGUUCCCAAGAAGAGGCACAAAAGUUUGUUAACCCAGUGGUAAAAUAAGCAAGUGAUCCUGUGUGAAUUGAGCUUUUCCCCUUUAACUUAGUGCUUUUAAAUGCAUAAUUAGCUGAAAGUAUAGGUUUAUUAGAAAAUAAAUGAUCUCCCUCUCUUAAGGUAAUUAUUUUUGAUGAUAUUCUAGAUUAAAGUAUCACUGAGUUUAUUUUCAGACAAUGAUAGCAUUUUUUAAUACUUUAAAAAAAAUUAUGAUCAUCAUUGAGAAUAAACUUACUUCCCUGAAGUAAGGGAAAGGCUUAAGAAGCCCUUUCAGUAGAAAGUUCUAGAUGGAGGGUUAUUCCCAUUCUAGGAACCAUGGUAAAUUACCAUACAUAACAUAUAUUUUUAAUCUUAUGCACUUACAGGUGUUCUGUGUUUUUCAUACCAAAUUUAUCAUGAACAUUAAGGUAAACCGUCUAUUUUAUUUUAUUUAUUUUAAUCUAAAUUUUUCAUUUUUUGGGAGACAAGAGUCUCUCUGUAUUGCCCAGGCUGGAGUGCAGUGGCGUGAUCUCGGCUCACUGCAACCUCCACCUCCCAGGUUCAAGUGAUUCUCUUGCCUCAGCAUCCUAAGUAACUGGGACUACAGACGCGUGCCACCACGCCCAGCUAAUUUUUUUGCAUUUUUAGUAGAGACAGGGUUUCACCAUGUUGGCCAGGCUGGUCUCGAACUCCUGACCUCAAGUGAUCUACCCACCUUGGCCUCCCAAAGUACUGGGAACCCUCUCUAUAAUUUUAAAUGAUGAGAUCAGUAUAUCUAGGAUAGUAACAAAAUCUGGCCCAAAAAAGAGAAUGGAUAUUGAGUAGAUAGCUAAUAACAUCUGCCACAGUUGUAUCUACUUAUUUAGGGAAGUUCAUAUGGCUUCUAUCCAGUGUUAUUUAGUAAUAUAUUUGUGAUCAAAAGGGAGUUUGAAUUUAUGACCCACAAUAUGAAUCUUACAGAUUCAGAUAUUAAGCUAUGUGAGAAGAAAACAAGAUUUGAGGGGUUGCUGUAUCAUCGGCUGAGUGACUUUGCUUUUUUGUAUUUACUUUUAAGGGCAGACUUAUCAAGUAGAAAUUGUUUACAUUUAGAUAGUCAUGUUUUUGCCUUCUCAAACUUCUGACAACUGAUUGUCUCAAAAAGCUAAGAGUCUGCUCCUGUAAUGUUAGAACUUUUUGACAUUUUAUGAUUUUUUUUGAAAAAAAAAUGUGACAACAAUAUAAAUAGUUGUUGUUAUGGAGUAUUUUAAACAUAUUUAUUGAAUGCAUUAACCACUUGGAACUUUUUUAAUAAAAGAGCAAUUUUUCAAG